UUCAAAAAUAUCCAACAAAAUUUUGAUCAUAAUUCAAUUAAUGGACAAUUGACGGAUGAACGUGAAUGGAUUGUCGGUAUCAUACAAUUCUACACUAAUACAAUUAAUUUUGUAGAUUUAAUAAAAUCGUGUUACGAAUCAGCUUAUAUAUUCGAAGGAUUAAUAACAUUGAUUAUUAUUAUGGUCGAUUAUGUUUACUUAUUUGAAAUACUUUCUUUUACCUUAAAUACGAGAGAAGGAUUAGAAAAGCUAUCUUAUGUCAUUGGAUCUUUGAUUGUAAUAUUUACUUAUAAUCAUCUUGGACAAAAAUUAAUUGACAAUCAUACAGAUGUUUAUACAAAACUCUGUCAAAUUCCGUUUUACUCUUUAUCAUUAAAAACACAAAAGAUGUUACUAUUUUUGAUAAUGAGAAGCAUAAGACCCUGUAAUCUUUCUGCAAAAGGAGUAAUCGUAAUAUCCCACGAUCUUUUUGCAGCGUUUAUGCGAACGUCAUUUUCAUACGUCAUGGUAUUUUCUAAUUUUUGAAUGAAAUCACAUUUACAUGUAGUAUUGCAUUAAAUAGUUAUAUGUAAUUGUUUUAAACAAAAUUCUAAAUAUAUGUAUAAAAAAUCUUUAACUAAGAUAAAACCCGUUAAGAAAAAAAGAUGAAUAUUUACCCGAUAUAAAAACAAGUAGAUACAGGUAAUUGUCAUAACAGUCGUAUCAAGUUAACGAUAAUGCGUUACGUUCAAGCGACAAAUGUAAACUGCACGAGAAUAUGAUGAUAAAAAAAAAGCUUUUUCGUAACGCGCAUGUCUUCGAAAGAGGGGGGAGGAAAGAUUUUGAAUAUGCAAAGGUAGAUUGGAAAAUUACUUAAUAACUGUGAAAAUGACACCUGCACGGUUAUAUAUAAUUGAUCGAAAAAGGGGGAGAGAAAAGCAAUGGAUAAUGUGACAGAGACUAUACCAUUAAAAAUUGAUUAUUAGAAUACUUAAUGAAUUUACAAAGCAUGGGGUUGAAGUCAUUCAGAAUCAGAGUGUUGCAACAUACGGUAACAUGUUUUUAAAAGAUGAAGACUGUAUUCGAAACGAAUACUAUUCUUACAAUUGUUUAUUUUUCAAAUUAAUUGGUUUAUGUAAAUUUCAAUCAAAAUCCAAGCAAUUGAUUUACGUUAGUUUGUUAAAUUUGUCAAUAUUAAUUGCUUCAUUAGGACAGAUAGCUACGCUAUUUAAUUCGGAACUUCAAAUAAGUUACAUUGUAAAAUUAUUGGAAACAACUCUGCCAACAUUAUGUUUUGGAUUUUGUUAUUACAAUCUAUUAUUGAAUAGUCAAAUUAUGGGUCAAAUUUUGAAUCGUAUCAAUUGCGAUUGGAACGAAUUAGAAAAUAAACCGGAGUUUGUAAUAUUAAAGGAUUAUGCACGUGUAAGCAGAAGAUGUUCAAUUACAAUUGCACGUAAG
Molecule: long non-coding RNA, 1437 nt
Filed under: Polistes dominula (European paper wasp)
Lineage: Eukaryota; Metazoa; Arthropoda; Insecta; Hymenoptera; Vespidae
Description: uncharacterized LOC107071504, transcript variant X2
Source: RNAcentral